RNAcentral lists this transfer RNA (82 nucleotides) under Fusarium vanettenii 77-13-4. RNAcentral's name for it is "tRNA-Leu (CAG) (tRNA-Leu-CAG-1-1)". It matches the Rfam family "tRNA". Rfam says of the family: Transfer RNA (tRNA) molecules are approximately 80 nucleotides in length. Their secondary structure includes four short double-helical elements and three loops (D, anti-codon, and T loops). The record is from RNAcentral. Lineage: Eukaryota; Fungi; Ascomycota; Sordariomycetes; Hypocreales; Nectriaceae.
GGCAAGAUGGCCGAGCGGUCUAAGGCGCUGUGUUCAGGUCGCAGUCUCGCAAGAGGCGUGGGUUCGAAUCCCACUCUUGUCA